RNAcentral lists this long non-coding RNA (1231 nucleotides) under Homo sapiens (human). Its description in RNAcentral is "non-protein coding lnc-CPLX1-2:9". The record is from RNAcentral. Lineage: Eukaryota; Metazoa; Chordata; Mammalia; Primates; Hominidae.
CGCCGCUCACCCCGCGGCCGCACCUUCCCGCCUUCUCAGGCUCCAGGGGAGAAGCACAGUCCAUUCCGUGCUGCUGCCACAGAACACCACACACUGGGUGAUUUAUGAAGAACAAAUUGAUUUCGGCACAGUUCUGGGAGCUGGGACAUUCAAGGUCACCACGUUGCCACCUGUGAAGGCCUUCUGCUGCAUCCUCAUGUUGGGGAAGAUCAGAAGUGAGAACACAUGCUGGCCAGUCCUUUCACAGCAGCAUCAAUCCGUGCAUGGGGCAGGGCCCUCGGCCUGAGCGCCUCCCCCAGGCCCUAACUCCCAGCACUGCCCUGCUGGGGAUGGAAUUUCCAACAUGAAUCUGGGGGAUGCUUUCGGACCACAGCCGGGGAGCCUGCCCUGGCUUCCAGCUGCUGGUGGCCCAGGGGCUCCCUGGCUUGCCUCGAGGCUGCCUCCCUCCAGCCUCCAGUCCGUCCUCUGCUCUGUCCUCACCAGGGCCUCCUGUCUCGAGUCUUCCUCCGCCUCACUUGUGUCAUGGGAUUUAGGCUCCACCCAGAUAUUCCAGAAUUAUUUCAUCCCAAAAUCCUUUAUUUAAUUAUAUCUACAAAGAUCCUUUUCCAAACAAGAUCCCAUUUGCAGGCUCUGGGGGUUAGGAUGUGGCUUAUCUUCUGGGGCCACCACUGAGUCCACUGCUGCUACAGACAGCAUCUCAAGUCUGUCCACUUCUCCACCCUGACCGCCCCCACCACAGUCCGCCUCUCCUGCAACUCCUGGCGCUGGCCUCUCCUGCGUCCAUUUCUGCACAGCCUGAGCGAUUUUCAAAAACGACACCAGACCCAUGCUCCUGCCCACAGCCGCCAGCGCCUUCUGUCUCCAUGCAAAGCUGGACCCUGCUGGCGCCUGCAUCCCCAUGGUGUCACUGCCUUGGGGGCUCACAGGGACCCACACUGGCAUGUUCAUGGUGCGCCCGCUGCCAAGGCCGCCUCAUGCCAGCACUCCUUCGUCUCCUUACACACCACAGCCUGGAAGGGUCCUCCCUCUCUGCAUCCGCCCAUGUCUCCCCUUGUGAAAUUAAAGCACAGAAUUUCUCGUUUUGAGGAAAACCUUUAUCCUAUUUUAAAACAGUCUCAUCAUCCCCGCCCUAGUUCUCUCUUCCACUCACAGUAGCAUUCCACGUUCCCUGUCUCUGGGCAUCCUACAACCCUUAGGGCUGUCUCCUAUCCCGCUCCCCGGUGAAGCAGGC